RNAcentral lists this ribosomal RNA (428 nucleotides) under uncultured bacterium. Its description in RNAcentral is "partial 16S ribosomal RNA". It matches the Rfam family "Bacterial small subunit ribosomal RNA", at positions 354 to 796 of the family's 1533-position model. The record is from RNAcentral.
GUGGGGAAUAUUGGGCAAUGGGCGAAAGCCUGACCCAGCAACGCCGCGUGAAGGAAGAAGGCCCUCGGGUUGUAAACUUCUUUUAAGAGGGACGAAAGAAAUGACGGUACCUCUUGAAUAAGCCACGGCUAACUACGUGCCAACAGCCGCGGUAAUACGUAGGUGGCGAGCGUUAUCCGGAUUUACUGGGUGUAAAGGGCGUGUAGGCGGGAGUGCAAGUCAGAUGUGAAAAUUAUGGGCUCAACCCAUAACCUGCAUUUGAAACUGUUCUUCUUGAGUGAUGGAGAGGCAGGCGGAAUUCCGUGUGUAGCGGUGAAAUGCGUAGAUAUACGGAGGAACACCAGUGGCGAAGGCGGCCUGCUGGACAUUAACUGACGCUGAGGCGCGAAAGCGUGGGGAGCAAACAGGAUUAGAAACCCGAGUAGUCC